Molecule: ribosomal RNA, 254 nt
Filed under: uncultured bacterium
Lineage: Bacteria
Description: partial 16S ribosomal RNA
Rfam family: Bacterial small subunit ribosomal RNA
Source: RNAcentral
UACAGAGGUCUCAAGCGUUGUUCGGAAUCACUGGGCGUAAAGGGUGCGUAGGUGGCGUGGAAAGUCAGAUGUGAAAGCCCGGGGCUCAACCUCGGAAUAGCAUCCGAUACUCCCAUGCUAGAGUACUGAAGAGGUGACUAGAAUUCUCGGUGUAGCAGUGAAAUGCGUAGAUAUCGAGAGGAACACCUGAGGUGAAGACGGGUUGCUGGGCCGACACUGACGCUGAGUGCGCGAAAGCCAGGGGAGCAAACGGG